This 280-nucleotide ribosomal RNA is filed under the name unidentified archaeon. RNAcentral's name for it is "16S ribosomal RNA". It matches the Rfam family "Archaeal small subunit ribosomal RNA", at positions 1050 to 1325 of the family's 1478-position model. The record is from RNAcentral.
AUCCCUGCCCUUAGUUGCUGCAGUUACUCUCAGGAGUAGCUGGGCUAACUAAGGGGACCCGCCACUGCUGAAGUGGAGGAAGGAGGGGGCCACGGCAGGUCAGUAUGCCCCGAAACCCUGGGGCUACACGCGGGCUGCAAUGAUAGAGACAACGGGUUCCGAACUCGAAAGAGGGAGGCAAUCCUUAAACUCUAUCUCAGUUAUGACUUGAGGGCUGCAACUCGCCCUCAUGAAGCUGGAAUCCGUAGUAACUCGCGUUUCAACAGAACGCGGUGAAUAC